Amphibalanus amphitrite is the source of this 687-nucleotide long non-coding RNA. RefSeq lists it as uncharacterized. The transcript is spliced from 3 exons. The record is from RefSeq and is a predicted model, not a curated record. Lineage: Eukaryota; Metazoa; Arthropoda; Thecostraca; Balanomorpha; Balanidae.
ACUUUUCUGAUCUCACGGCCGGCAGCCUGGAUCCCCUCACCAGGUGCCCUGGGCUGCGGGAACUCACCCUGUCCGGCGGCGUCCCUGACACAGGGAGCCUGGAGCCCCUCACCAGGUGCCCUAGGCUGCGGGAUCUCACCCUGUCCGGCGGCGUCCCUGACGCCGUGAGCCUGGAGCCCCUCACCAGGUGCCCUGGGCUGGAGCGUCUCACCCUGUCCGGCGGCGUCCCUGACGCCGUGCUGGACAGUCUCAGCGGCUGGCCCGGGCUGCAGGACCUUACACUGGGGGACCUCCAGCGGCCGGCAGAGACGGCCUUCACGGCAGCAGCGUACACCAGACUGGUCAAGUCGUGUCGGGAGCUGUGGUCGCUGUACCUUCACUGCACGGCAGACACCGGCCGGGCCGUGCUGACCGCCCUGAAGGAGGCGGACCUGGGCCGGGACAGUGAUGGCGAGCCCCGUACCAUCAAUCUCAUUGUCCCCGGGGAGCUGUACGAUCAGCUGAAGAGCCAGGGAGGCGGUCGGGUCACAGUGUGGAAGUGGUAGUAUUGAUACGCUGCACUACCGACCGUGCAGUGAUGAGCUGACUGCAGAGAGGCCGAGCCAGUCGGCCGGGGCCGCCAGCUGACUGCUGCCGUGUGUGCUGCACCAGCCGGCACUGAGAGCGGCGCCGGUCAGCCGGCACACG